Xenopus laevis (African clawed frog) is the source of this 1138-nucleotide long non-coding RNA. RefSeq lists it as uncharacterized. The transcript is spliced from 2 exons. NCBI's taxonomy places the organism in Eukaryota, Metazoa, Chordata, Amphibia, Anura, Pipidae. The record is from RefSeq and is a predicted model, not a curated record.
CAAGACUUUUCCCCUACAACACCUCCUUUUGUCAGUAUUUCUGACAACAAUAAUACAAAACAAACAAUUAAACAUAGCAUACCUUAUAACUGCUAUGCAUACAACCUAUAUGAGAAUACAUCUGGUAUAUACUGUUCAUACACUGUGGUGGUUCAUUGAAGUCAAUUUUUAGACUUUUAGUGUUCUUAGGAUAGAACAGAACAGGUUUAGAAGAACUUGCCUUUAGAAAAGAGUAAGACAAUAAGGAGGUACAGCAAGAACAACAGCAACAAAUGAUGUUAGGUAGACAAUAGAUGACUAGAAGGAUGACACCAACACAAACGAGGACAUACAGAAUGGUAUGGAAAAUCUUAGCACUGAUAUCUUGGAACCAUGUGGAUAGGUCCAACCAGGGGAAGAUGGAUUGUUCCUUGUGAUUGGUUAAAAAGGUGUCCUUCCUCUGCUAAACCUUUACCAGGUGCUUGUCAUCAAUGUAAUUACAACUGUACCUAACCCUCCUUGACUAGCUGGAAGAUAAUCUAACACUAAACAAUGCGGCAGAACUUCCUUCUUCAAUUGUUGGAGUUCAUGACUUACUAUCUUCAAACUGUUGACAUAUUCAUUAGUAAUGUUAUCAAGCAACAACAUACUAGACAUAAGGCUAAAGGCUUUGUUAAUGCAAUAUCUAUUUACCUCAGGGGAAGUUAAAGAGAGCUCUUGCCUUACCUUUAAAGAUGCACGCUUCAUUAGGAAGUGUGCUGGAAUCUGAGCUAUCUUAAUAUCUUUAGCUUCCAUAUACCAGGUGGGAUGAAGCAAUUUAGCAAUCAUACAUACACCAUGGGAGCCUUUUGGUAGCCACGGAUAGGCACAUUCACCACAAACAAAGUAAUAAGCGGAACUGUUGAUACAAAGGCCAUCAGAACAUAAGUGUACCAACUUACCAAUAUCCUUGGGCGACACCGUUUUAUGAAACUGGAGAAGUGUCAAAUUACCUCAAGGCCUGUUAACUAUGUCCUGACAGGAUAGAGAUUCUGCUACGUAUGUCAUACUGCGAGCUGACAAAGGAUAAUGUGUACAUAUCCAUCAAUCAGUAAUAGUGUGGAUGCUGCUAUAACAUACAUUUUAACAAAAGCAUUAUCAUUAGGCUCAAACAGUUAUG